Molecule: ribosomal RNA, 405 nt
Filed under: uncultured bacterium
Lineage: Bacteria
Description: bacterial SSU rRNA
Rfam family: Bacterial small subunit ribosomal RNA
Source: RNAcentral
UGGGGAAUAUUGCACAAUGGGGGAAACCCUGAUGCAGCGACGCCGCGUGGAGGAAGAAGGUCUUCGGAUUGUAAACUCCUGUCAUUCGGGACGAAAAAUGACGGUACCGGAUGAGGAAGCCACGGCUAACUACGUGCCAGCAGCCGCGGUAAUACGUAGGUGGCGAGCGUUGUCCGGAAUUACUGGGCGUAAAGGGCGCGUAGGCGGUCUGCUAAGUCAGAUGUGAAAACCCCGGGCUCAACCUGGGGAUUGCAUUUGAAACUGGCAGACUAGAGUGUCGGAGAGGAAGGCGGAAUUCCUAGUGUAGCGGUGAAAUGCGUAGAUAUUAGGAGGAACACCAGUGGCGAAGGCGGCUUUCUGGACGAUAACUGACGCUGAGGCGCGAAAGCGUGGGGAGCAAACAGG